GGUGCCUAGGCCUCCUCCUAAGCCAUCUGGUGGUGGUGGUGGUGGUGCUACCACAAAUGCAAAUCCUUCCAAUGGAGUACCAUCUGCUCCACCACUUCCUCCUCCUCCUCCAGGUGCUCCACGGCCGCCGCCUCCGCCAGGUGGUGGACCACCUCCCCCUCCUCCUCCCCCAGGAAGCCUAUCAAGAGGGGGAGUAGAUGGUGACAAAGUUCACAGAGCUCCACAGCUAGUUGAAUUUUAUCAGUCAUUGA
This 251-nucleotide long non-coding RNA is filed under the name Phaseolus vulgaris (common bean). RNAcentral describes it as "long non-coding RNA (PVUL_LNC003768)". Lineage: Eukaryota; Viridiplantae; Streptophyta; Magnoliopsida; Fabales; Fabaceae. The record is from RNAcentral.